This 412-nucleotide ribosomal RNA is filed under the name uncultured bacterium. Its description in RNAcentral is "bacterial SSU rRNA". It matches the Rfam family "Bacterial small subunit ribosomal RNA", at positions 355 to 776 of the family's 1533-position model. The record is from RNAcentral.
UCGAGAAUCUUCGGCAAUGGGCGCAAGCCUGACCGAGCGACGCCGCGUGGAGGACGAAGGCCUUCGGGUUGUAAACUCCUGUCGAGGGGGAGGAAGCCGCAAGGUUGACCCAUCCCUGGAGGAAGGACGGGCUAAGUUCGUGCCAGCAGCCGCGGUAAGACGAACCGUCCUAACGUUAUUCGGAAUUACUGGGCUUAAAGCGCGUGUAGGCGGGGUGGUGCGUCCGUCGCUGAAAUACCUCGGCUCAACCGAGGAACUGGCGUGGAUACGGCCGCCCUGGAGGGGUGUAGGGGGACCUGGAACUUCCGGUGGAGCGGUGAAAUGCGUUGAGAUCGGAAGGAACGCCCGUGGCGAAAGCGAGGUCCUGGACACUUUCUGACGCUGAGACGCGAAAGCCAGGGGAGCAAACGGG